Molecule: unclassified non-coding RNA, 649 nt
Filed under: Scedosporium aurantiacum
Lineage: Eukaryota; Fungi; Ascomycota; Sordariomycetes; Microascales; Microascaceae
Description: sequence contains 18S rRNA gene, ITS1, 5.8S rRNA gene, ITS2, 28S rRNA gene
Rfam family: 5.8S ribosomal RNA (bases 232-385)
Source: RNAcentral
GGAAGUAAAAGUCGUAACAAGGUCUCCGUUGGUGAACCAGCGGAGGGAUCAUUACAGAGUUACUACUCCAAACCCAUUGUGAACCUUACCUAUGUUCUGUUGCCUCGGCGGGGCGGUCGGCGCCCCCUCUCCGCGAGGAGGGGAGACGAUGGACCCCCCGCCGGCAGCACCAAACUCUUGAAUUUUAUAGCGGAUUACAAGCUCUGAUUGGAAAACAAAAAAACAAAUCAAAACUUUCAACAACGGAUCUCUUGGUUCUGGCAUCGAUGAAGAACGCAGCGAAAUGCGAUAAGUAAUGUGAAUUGCAGAAUUCAGUGAAUCAUCGAAUCUUUGAACGCACAUUGCGCCCGGCAGUAAUCUGCCGGGCAUGCCUGUCCGAGCGUCAUUUCAACCCUCGAACCUCUGUUUCCCAGCGAAGCUCAGGGUCGGCGUUGGGGCGCUACGGCGAGUCUUCGCGACCCCGUAGGCCCUGAAAUACAGUGGCGGUCCCGCCGCGGUUGCCUUCUGCGUAGUAAAAGUCUUCUUUUGCAAGCUUCGCAUUGGGUCCCGGCGGAGGCCUGCCGUCAAACCACAUUAUAACUUAAGAUGGUUUGACCUCGGAUCAGGUAGGGUUACCCGCUGAACUUAAGCAUAUCAAUAAGCGGAGGAA